RNAcentral lists this long non-coding RNA (424 nucleotides) under Callithrix jacchus (white-tufted-ear marmoset). RNAcentral's name for it is "lncRNA (ENSCJAG00000069918.1)". The record is from RNAcentral. Lineage: Eukaryota; Metazoa; Chordata; Mammalia; Primates; Cebidae.
UGAGAAGCCUUUGAGGAAGUGGCAGAAGCCAGGGAAAGUAGAUGACAUGAUCAGAGAUUGUGAGAUGACUUUUAUUCAGGCAGGACAUCAUGUUUCCGAAAGGCUUUGCUCAGAGGCAGGAGAAAGGCUUGAAGACUAGAAUGAGAAAGAAGGUUGGUCUGAAGCUCCCUUCAAGAGAACAGUCCAUCUGCAUCUCUUCAACUGUGCUGGUCUGCAAGAAAAACAGGAGUCUUGAGUUAUCUGGGAACUUCGCUGGGAAUGUGGGGAGAAAGGAUAAGCUGAGGAGGGCUAUUUGGAGUUUGCUUUGCCUGAUGGUAGCAGAAGAAAACCAGCAAUAAGCCUCCUUUCACGUGUUCAUUAUGGUCUACAGCUGAGGAGGGCUAUCUAGGGUUUGCUUUGCCUGAUGGUGGCAGAAGAAAACCAG